AGAGCGAACGCUGGCGGCAGGCCUAACACAUGCAAGUCGAGCGGCCGUAGCAAUACGGCAGCGGCAGACGGGAUAGUAACACGUGGGAACGCGCCCUUCGGUUCGGAAUAACUCAGGGAAACUUGAGCUAAUACCGGAUACGCCCUAACGGGGAAAGAUUUAUUGCCGAAGGAACGGCCCGCGUCCGAUUAGCUAGUUGGUGAGGUAAUGGCUCACCAAGGCGACGAUCGGUAGCUGGUCUGAGAGGAUGACCAGCAUCACUGGGACUGAGACACGGCCCAGACUCCUACGGGAGGCAGCAGUGGGGAAUAUUGGACAAUGGGCGCAAGCCUGAUCCAGCCAUGCCGCGUGGAUGAUGAAGGCCUUAGGGUUGUAAAGUCCUUUUAACGGGGAAGAUAAUGACGGUACCGUAGAAUAAGCCCCGGCUAACUUCGUGCCAGCAGCCGC
RNAcentral lists this ribosomal RNA (447 nucleotides) under uncultured bacterium. RNAcentral's name for it is "SSU rRNA". It matches the Rfam family "Bacterial small subunit ribosomal RNA", at positions 26 to 518 of the family's 1533-position model. The record is from RNAcentral.